Molecule: RNA transcript, 5791 nt
Organism: Homo sapiens (human)
Lineage: Eukaryota; Metazoa; Chordata; Mammalia; Primates; Hominidae
Gene: PIGG
Gene name: phosphatidylinositol glycan anchor biosynthesis class G (EMM blood group)
Exons: 12
Source: RefSeq, marked reviewed
ACUGUCGCUGCGACGAUAAGGCCUGGCGUUAUUGCUUAGAGGCGGCUACCUGGAGCCGGAAGCGCGGCUGCAGCAGGGCGAGGCUCCAGGUGGGGUCGGUUCCGCAUCCAGCCUAGCGUGUCCACGAUGCGGCUGGGCUCCGGGACUUUCGCUACCUGUUGCGUAGCGAUCGAGGUGCUAGGGAUCGCGGUCUUCCUUCGGGGAUUCUUCCCGGCUCCCGUUCGUUCCUCUGCCAGAGCGGAACACGGAGCGGAGCCCCCAGCGCCCGAACCCUCGGCUGGAGCCAGUUCUAACUGGACCACGCUGCCACCACCUCUCUUCAGUAAAGUUGUUAUUGUUCUGAUAGAUGCCUUGAGAGAUGAUUUUGUGUUUGGGUCAAAGGGUGUGAAAUUUAUGCCCUACACAACUUACCUUGUGGAAAAAGGAGCAUCUCACAGUUUUGUGGCUGAAGCAAAGCCACCUACAGUUACUAUGCCUCGAAUCAAGGCAUUGAUGACGGGGAGCCUUCCUGGCUUUGUCGACGUCAUCAGGAACCUCAAUUCUCCUGCACUGCUGGAAGACAGUGUGAUAAGACAAGCAAAAGCAGCUGGAAAAAGAAUAGUCUUUUAUGGAGAUGAAACCUGGGUUAAAUUAUUCCCAAAGCAUUUUGUGGAAUAUGAUGGAACAACCUCAUUUUUCGUGUCAGAUUACACAGAGGUGGAUAAUAAUGUCACGAGGCAUUUGGAUAAAGUAUUAAAAAGAGGAGAUUGGGACAUAUUAAUCCUCCACUACCUGGGGCUGGACCACAUUGGCCACAUUUCAGGGCCCAACAGCCCCCUGAUUGGGCAGAAGCUGAGCGAGAUGGACAGCGUGCUGAUGAAGAUCCACACCUCACUGCAGUCGAAGGAGAGAGAGACGCCUUUACCCAAUUUGCUGGUUCUUUGUGGUGACCAUGGCAUGUCUGAAACAGGAAGUCACGGGGCCUCCUCCACCGAGGAGGUGAAUACACCUCUGAUUUUAAUCAGUUCUGCGUUUGAAAGGAAACCCGGUGAUAUCCGACAUCCAAAGCACGUCCAACAGACGGAUGUGGCUGCGACACUGGCGAUAGCACUUGGCUUACCGAUUCCAAAAGACAGUGUAGGGAGCCUCCUAUUCCCAGUUGUGGAAGGAAGACCAAUGAGAGAGCAGUUGAGAUUUUUACAUUUGAAUACAGUGCAGCUUAGUAAACUGUUGCAAGAGAAUGUGCCGUCAUAUGAAAAAGAUCCUGGGUUUGAGCAGUUUAAAAUGUCAGAAAGAUUGCAUGGGAACUGGAUCAGACUGUACUUGGAGGAAAAGCAUUCAGAAGUCCUAUUCAACCUGGGCUCCAAGGUUCUCAGGCAGUACCUGGAUGCUCUGAAGACGCUGAGCUUGUCCCUGAGUGCACAAGUGGCCCAGUACGACAUCUAUUCGAUGAUGGUGGGGACUGUCGUGGUUUUGGAGGUUCUCACCCUGCUCCUGCUCAGCGUCCCACAGGCACUGCGCAGAAAGGCUGAGCUGGAAGUCCCACUGUCAUCUCCUGGGUUUUCUCUGCUCUUUUAUUUGGUGAUCCUGGUUCUUUCGGCCGUUCACGUCAUUGUGUGCACCUCAGCUGAAAGUUCGUGCUACUUCUGUGGCCUCUCGUGGCUGGCGGCAGGUGGGGUGAUGGUGCUGGCCUCGGCGCUGCUGUGUGUGAUUGUGUCUGUUCUGACCAACGUGCUCGUGGGUGGAAACACCCCAAGGAAGAACCCCAUGCAUCCCAGCUCAAGGUGGUCAGAGCUAGACCUUCUUAUUCUGUUGGGGACGGCGGGCCACGUCUUGAGCCUGGGCGCCAGCAGCUUCGUGGAGGAGGAGCACCAGACCUGGUACUUCCUUGUGAACACCCUGUGUCUAGCUCUGAGCCAAGAAACCUACAGAAACUACUUUCUGGGAGAUGACGGUGAGCCUCCGUGUGGCCUCUGUGUGGAACAAGGGCAUGACGGGGCCACAGCAGCGUGGCAGGACGGGCCUGGCUGUGAUGUCCUGGAGCGAGACAAAGGCCACGGAAGCCCCUCUACCUCCGAAGUGCUCAGAGGCCGCGAGAAGUGGAUGGUGCUGGCCAGUCCGUGGCUAAUACUGGCCUGCUGCCGGCUGCUGCGCUCCCUAAACCAGACAGGUGUGCAGUGGGCUCACCGGCCUGACCUCGGCCACUGGCUCACCAGCUCUGACCACAAAGCCGAGCUCUCUGUCCUGGCUGCCCUCUCCCUCCUCGUAGUUUUUGUGCUGGUGCAGAGGGGGUGCUCCCCUGUGUCCAAGGCUGCCCUGGCGCUGGGGCUGCUGGGCGUCUACUGCUACCGGGCGGCCAUCGGGAGUGUCCGGUUCCCGUGGCGGCCGGACAGCAAGGACAUUUCCAAGGGUAUUAUUGAAGCUCGUUUUGUUUAUGUCUUUGUCCUUGGCAUUCUGUUCACGGGCACCAAAGACUUACUUAAAUCUCAAGUCAUUGCUGCAGACUUCAAACUCAAGACUGUAGGUUUAUGGGAGAUAUAUAGUGGAUUAGUUCUUCUGGCAGCCUUGCUCUUUAGACCACAUAAUCUUCCGGUCUUAGCAUUUAGCCUCUUGAUUCAGACUCUAAUGACUAAAUUCAUCUGGAAGCCCCUGAGACACGAUGCAGCUGAGAUUACUGUGAUGCAUUAUUGGUUUGGUCAAGCAUUCUUCUAUUUUCAGGUAGGUUUUCAUUAUUAUCAUGGGUAGUAGACUUCAUGUUUUACAUAUUUAUUUUAAAUUUUUCUUUGAGAAAAUGUUCCCAUAAGUUGGAAAGUGACUGUCAGUGUGGCAUGGUGAAUUACGCUGAACUCUCGUGUAUUUUAUAAGACAAAGUACAGCCGGUUGUUUAAGACACGCGUCCCAGGUGUGGAUGUGUGGGUGCUUAAGACAGCAGACUGCUGCUUUGCUGGGCCAGGCCUGGGUUUAUUUAUUACAAGCAGUUCAGGAAGCACAGACAUCACGUUGUUCACUUGCUUCACUGAUGAAUGUAAUAAUUGUUCUCGUUCAUGCCCUUUGCCCCUGGUGUCGGGGCUGUCCACACUGGGGACCAUUGGUGCCCCCAUGAUUAUUAGCUCCCUGAAGCCUGGUGGGUCGUCAGGGCUUCUGUCCGGUGUUUAAAGACCCAUCCCAGACAAGCCCAAACCACCUCAGUUUGAAGAGACAUAGAGGGACAGGCAGACGGGGCCUCAGAGGGAUCCAGCCUCAUCCAGCCUCCCGGCAACCUCAGGAGAGCAGGCCAGAUGGGGCCUCAGAGGGAUCCAGCCUCAUCCAGCCUCCCGGCAACCUCAGGAGAGCAGGCACAGCCCUGCUGGUUCCCUUCCAGUGCCGACUCCCAGGCUGAGUCGCUUUGCAGCAGCUGAACGUCGUGGUUGCAUUUUGGUCUCUACCGUGAGGUCUGUAUUUUCUUGGUGUGCACCGGUGUCUGCCUGUCCGCUGUCUCGUACCCAGGAGGCAUGUGCAGUUCUUUGUGUCCCUACAGGGCCUCUCUUCCAUCCUCUUCUCCUUUCCUGGUGCUCCCAGCCUUUCCCAUGGAACAGCCCACAGUUGCAGGAUUUUCUGUCUUUAUGUCUGUCCCCCUGAUCCUGAAGCCCAAAGGUGGUAGGCGUGAAGUUACAGAAGUCUGUGUCUUCAGGUACAAUGAGUAGGUGGCCAAUGGCCAGCUUCUUAGCCCCGUCCUGGUGCUUCCCCGACCCUUCUGAUCCGCUCAGGCCCCUGUCCUCCUCGUACACAGCUGCAGCUCUCCCUGCCAUGUCCACGCAAGGCACAAGGGUGUCCCCAGCAGAACUGCAGGCCUGGAUGCUGGUAUCCAGCACGUUCAAGCCAGGUGGCCUCCGGCAGGCUCUUGCCACACCUUCGUUUCCUUAUCUGUAAACCAGGGAUAGUGGUCUCCCGGCCUCCCCAGGACCCAGCCCUCCCUGGUCUCCCCACCUCCCCGUGGCCCCUGUUUUGAGGCUGAGUCCGCUGCCCCUCAGUGUUAGAUCUCCUCUGAGAGGAACCUGUGGCUUUGCUGCCCAUCCCUACUUCCUGCCCUCGACUGGGCAGUUCCUUAACAGAUCAGGGAUCAGGAACAUGACUGCCCUUGCUCAUCUGCUGGCCCUCCACAUUUGCCCAGUCCCUGGGUCUCUCUGCCUCCGUUUCCUCCCUGUUUGAUGAGGAUAAUCACGAAGCACAUCAGGACUGUUGGGUUAGAUGAAGUCAUGCAGGUAAAGCUGCUGUGCAGCUGCAGACAUGUCAGCAUGGCUGGCAGUCUCUGUGCUUGGCUGAGCCUGCUCAGAGCCACAGUGACCUCCUAGGUGUCCUCCUCCCCUGCUCCCAUCGUGGCAUCUGGGACUCUGUCCCCCUGCCACCCUCCAGGGUCUCCUACUGCUUCUGCCUGUUUGCUCUCUCCUCAGUCUCCCUGCAGAAGAGCUUCCAAGUGGAGGAGACACAUGACUGGGGUGGCACCGUCCAAGAGAGGCAGUAGCUGCGAGUCCAGUGGGUCUCAGGGCAAGCCAAGUCAAAGGGCUGGGGCCUAAGACAACAGGGAUAGGAGUCAAUGCACAUCUGUGAGAUAAUGGGGAAGCAGCAUCAACAUGACUUGGGGACCCCCUGGGCCCACAGCUCUCUGCAUGGAAAGGGAGGAAGGAGCCAAGCUGGUGAGCACCCAGCCAGUGUUUUGUGGACAUGAACAGUUCUGGUUCUGGAGAGGGAUCUUCGUUGAGCUUGAUAGAGACAUGUGCUGUCGGACUGUAGAUGUCAUGAGUUUCUGAGGAAAGGUCAGCAUGACAGGCAAGUGACAGACAUCAGAGUCAGUAAAGAUGGAGCGUGGGGAGGCGGGGCCUGGGAGCAGAGAGGAGGGGCCUAGGAAUGGAGAGGUAGGGCCUAGGAGUGGAAAGGUGUGGUCUUGGAGUGGAGAGGCGGGGCCUGCGCAGAGAGGCAGGGUCUCUCAGAAGACCCCUUUUUGGGAUCCAGAAUCACUAGGAGCAGGGUAAGCUGUGUGGCAUCAGCGCUUGCAUCCUGCAGGGAGUUACCUACCAGGGCUGGGCCGGGACUGGCCAGAACCUUGACAGAUGAAGUUUGACCAGACCAAGUGAGUCCUCAUGGUCUGAUACGUAAGCCAGAUGUGAGUUACCAAUUUGCACCAGGGGCUGUGCUCCCCCAGUGGCUGGCCUGCCCUCCACCAUAUAACCCACUGGCAGCACCUCACCGUAGAUGGGACCUGGCUGGGUGCCCGUUCUAGUCUUCAGCCCAGCUCCCCGCUUGGCUGGGCCCAGCAGCUGGCCUCUCAGGGCCCUAUGCGCCCCUCGGAUGGGGGUCCUUGAGGGGAGCUUCAUGUGCUUGUCUUAAGUCGAUGGGUCUGGACAAGGGUCUUAGAUGUGGCACAGUCAGCCAGCCGGUCUGUGUGUGCGUCCCUCUUCAGAGGGGGCCCCAGCUUCUGCACGGUCCGCUCACGUGCCCUUCCGCAGCCUGGGCACUGCAGGCAGGGGGAGGGGGUGCCACCUAGGCAAGGCCAGCUCGGCAGUCUGAAGGAACGGCUGGGCAGCCACCUCUGACCACACGUGUGUCCGUGCCGGCGUGGUUAUCUGGGCUGCCUACACAGUUCACGCUAACAUCGUGGCUCACGCUAACAUCGUGGCUGUUGAUGCCACGUGUUGUGAGGCCUUUGUCAGCUCUUCUCCUGUAUUCCAGGGCAACUCCAACAACAUUGCCACCGUGGACAUCUCCGCAGGCUUCGUGGGCUUAGACACCUACGUGGAAAUCCCAGCCGUGCUCCUGACAGCGUUUGGGACGUACG